UAUAUAUAUUAUAUCAAAUGAUGUGGAGAAAAGGGAACUCUCCUACAUUGUUGGUGGGAAUGUACAUUAGUACAACCACAUUGAGAACAGUUUGGGGGUU
Long non-coding RNA from Sapajus apella (tufted capuchin), 100 nucleotides. RefSeq lists it as uncharacterized. Lineage: Eukaryota; Metazoa; Chordata; Mammalia; Primates; Cebidae. The record is from RefSeq and is a predicted model, not a curated record. The transcript is spliced from 3 exons.